AAUUUAGAACCAGCAGCGGGACUCCGUGCACUUUCGUUUCAAGCGAUGCGAUCGCAUUUAUGCAAAUUAGCAGAGUAUAGACGUAGUAGAAGAGGUGUUCCCAAAUUCCCAACAGACUACUAAAUUCCACACGGACGUAAGCAGUGAUUGGUCGUUAUCAUCUGAUUUUGACAUAGAUAGACAUAUGGAUUUGGAUGAAUUUUUGUGGUUAUAAUGGAAAUAUGAAGACGUGGAAAGAUAUGCAGAAAGUUGAGACAAGUUAUGUAAGGUCUAGAACAGUUCACACAAAGAAACAAGAUGAUUUAUACUAUGAGUAUAGUUUUUAAUCAAUUUCAUGCUAUGAGUGUAACAGAAAUAACAUAAUAAUAUGCAAGGAGUAUAGAUGCUAGGAGAGUAUAUUAUAUUCAUUGAUGUGGAUAUAAGCCCAACUAUAAAAUAAUUAGGACAGAGAAACCUGUUCCAUUCAUUGUCCCUCCAGACUGAUUUGCAAACUGUGAGAUCAAGGACAGCUUUCUAUCAGUUAUGUAUUGGAAAACACAUGCUGGACAUGCUGAACCAUGCAUCUGUAAAAACUACAAGAAAAAAUGGUUGUAGAGAAAUUAAUGAGGUGCCACCCAAUAAAAUUUCAUGAGAUUCAAGAAUGUGAAGAUACAUGAGCAAUUUCAGAUGAUGCUGCAAGGUGUUUGGGAGAAAAUAAAAAGAGAAACUGAGUAAACAUUGAAUUUGAUAUUAAGAUAGUUUUUUAGCUCACAAAUGUUUUUUGUUUUGUAUCUGUAU
This 777-nucleotide long non-coding RNA is filed under the name Diabrotica virgifera virgifera (western corn rootworm). Its description in RNAcentral is "uncharacterized LOC126890110". The record is from RNAcentral. Lineage: Eukaryota; Metazoa; Arthropoda; Insecta; Coleoptera; Chrysomelidae.